CCUACGGGCGGCAGCAGUGAGGAAUAUUGGUCAAUGGGCGCGAGCCUGAACCAGCCAAGUAGCGUGAAGGAUGACUGCCCUACGGGUUGUAAACUUCUUUUAUAAAGGAAUAAAGUGAGGCACGUGUGCCUUUUUGUGUGUACUUUAUGAAUAAGGAUCGGCUAACUCCGUGCCAGCAGCCGCGGUAAUACGGAGGAUCCGAGCGUUAUCCGGAUUUAUUGGGUUUAAAGGGUGCGUAGAUGGGUUGUUAAGUCAGGUGUGAAAGUUUGCGGCUCAACCGUAAAAUUGCAAUUGAUACUGGCAGCCUUGAGUACAGUUGAGGUAGGCGGAAUUCGUGGUGUAGCGGUGAAAUGCUUAGAUAUCACGAAGAACUCCGAUUGCGAAGGCAGCUUACUAAACGGCAACUGACAUUGAUGCUCGAAAGUGUGGGUAUCGAACAGGAUUAGAUACCCGAGUAGUC
This 460-nucleotide ribosomal RNA is filed under the name uncultured bacterium. Its description in RNAcentral is "partial 16S ribosomal RNA". It matches the Rfam family "Bacterial small subunit ribosomal RNA", at positions 338 to 795 of the family's 1533-position model. The record is from RNAcentral.